GUGGGGAAUCUUGCGCAAUGGGCGAAAGCCUGACGCAGCCAUGCCGCGUGGAUGAUGAAGGUCUUAGGAUUGUAAAAUCCUUUCACCGGUGAAGAUAAUGACUGUAGCCGGAGAAGAAGCCCCGGCUAACUUCGUGCCAGCAGCCGCGGUAAUACGAAGGGGGCCAGCGUUGCUCGGAUUUACUGGGCGUAAAGGGCGCGUAGGCGGACAUUUAAGUCAGGGGUGAAAUCCCGGGGCUCAACCUCGGAACUGCCUUUGAUACUGGGUGUCUUGAGUAUGAGAGAGGUGUGGGGAACUCCGAGUGUAGAGGUGAAAUUCGUAGAUAUUCGGAAGAACACCAGUGGCGAAGGCGACACACUGGCUCAUUACUGACGCUGAGGCGCGAAAGCGUGGGGAGCAAACAGGAUUAGAAACCCCGGUAGUCC
This 425-nucleotide ribosomal RNA is filed under the name uncultured bacterium. RNAcentral's name for it is "partial 16S ribosomal RNA". It matches the Rfam family "Bacterial small subunit ribosomal RNA", at positions 354 to 796 of the family's 1533-position model. The record is from RNAcentral.